Molecule: ribosomal RNA, 414 nt
Filed under: uncultured beta proteobacterium
Lineage: Bacteria; Pseudomonadati; Pseudomonadota; Betaproteobacteria
Description: bacterial SSU rRNA
Rfam family: Bacterial small subunit ribosomal RNA
Source: RNAcentral
AAGAAUAAGCACCGGCUAACUACGUGCCAGCAGCCGCGGUAAUACGUAGGGUGCGAGCGUUAAUCGGAAUUACUGGGCGUAAAGCGUGCGCAGGCGGUUUUGUAAGACAGGUGUGAAAACCCCGGGCUCAACCUGGGAACUGCAUUUGUGACUGCAAGACUAGAGUACGGUAGAGGGGGAUGGAAUUCCGCGUGUAGCAGUGAAAUGCGUAGAUAUGCAGAGGAACACCGAUGGCGAAGGCAAUCCCCUGGACCUGUACUGACGCUCAUGCACGAAAGCGUGGGGAGCAAACAGGAUUAGAUACCCUGGUAGUCCACGCCCUAAACGAUGUCAACUGGUUGUUGGGUCUUUACUGACUCAGUAACGAAGCUAACGCGUGAAGUUGACCGCCUGGGGAGUACGGCCGCAAGGUUG